This 219-nucleotide ribosomal RNA is filed under the name uncultured bacterium. Its description in RNAcentral is "partial 16S ribosomal RNA". It matches the Rfam family "Bacterial small subunit ribosomal RNA", at positions 524 to 744 of the family's 1533-position model. The record is from RNAcentral.
UACGUAGGGUGCGAGCGUUGUCCGGAAUUAUUGGGCGUAAAGAGCUCGUAGGCGGUUUGUCGCGUCGGGAGUGAAAACUCAGGGCUUAACCCUGAGCCUGCUUCCGAUACGGGCAGACUAGAGGUAUGCAGGGGAGAACGGAAUUCCUGGUGUAGCGGUGAAAUGCGCAGAUAUCAGGAGGAACACCGAUGGCGAAGGCAGAUCUCUGGGAGCCGUAAC